CGGUCCCUCUAAAUCAAUCCUUUACACGUUUUAAGUCCAUGACACGUGUCGAUAUAUUAUUGGACAUGAAUUUUCAAGGUGUUACAUGAAUUAACUUCUUUAAUGAGUUAUUACAAAAAACGGUUUUUACUUUUUAAUUUGGGCAGCAGCAGAAAAGCAUAGAGUAAAUAUAUCCAAAUGGUGCUGGAUGAACAGGUGUUGGAACAGGCUUCUGGUGGAACUGCGACCCAAGUCAGAGGUAUACCGGAACCAGCGGAUCUGGUGGUUACGGCGUCUAGGGUUCCGCCACAAGUGGCAGAUAUAAUUGCCACGUAGUUGUACAGACCUGACCAGAAAAGAAUCAUCGCCGUAGCUGUGACGGUGGCAUAUGAACGGGGAUGCAGGCAUCUUCUUUUCUUGGAUGGAUCCGCUCAUGUCUUUGGGAUAUAAAAGACCUCUUACAGAAAAGGAUAUAUGGAAACCGGACACCUGGACCAAACAGAAACACUAAACAACAAAUUUCAAUCAUGCUGGGCGGACGAGGUCCAUAAACCUAAACCAUGGCUUUUAAGGGCCUUACAUCGUAGUCUUGGAGGAAGG
This is a long non-coding RNA of Helianthus annuus (common sunflower), 579 nucleotides long. RefSeq lists it as uncharacterized. The transcript has 4 exons. The record is from RefSeq and is a predicted model, not a curated record. NCBI's taxonomy places the organism in Eukaryota, Viridiplantae, Streptophyta, Magnoliopsida, Asterales, Asteraceae.